RNAcentral lists this ribosomal RNA (253 nucleotides) under uncultured bacterium. RNAcentral describes it as "partial 16S ribosomal RNA". It matches the Rfam family "Bacterial small subunit ribosomal RNA", at positions 524 to 776 of the family's 1533-position model. The record is from RNAcentral.
UACAGAGGUCCCAAGCGUUGUUCGGAUUCACUGGGCGUAAAGGGUGCGUAGGUGGUCGGGUAAGUUUGAUGUGAUAUCUCCGGGCUUAACCCGGAAACUGCAUUGAAUACUAUUCGGCUAGAGGGUUGGAGGGGAGACUGGAAUACUUGGUGUAGCAGUGAAAUGCGUAGAUAUCAAGUGGAACACCAGUGGCGAAGGCGAAUCUCUGGACAACUCCUGACACUGAAACACGAAAGCUAGGGGAGCAAACAGG